GGGAUUGCCCCAGUAACGGCGAGUGAAGCGGCAACAGCUCAAAUUUGAAAUCUGGCGCCCCCCCCGCGGGGUGCCCGAGUUGUAAUUUGCAGAGGAUGCCUCUGGCGCGGCGCCUUCCGAGUUCCCUGGAACGGGACGCCGUAGAGGGUGAGAGCCCCGUACGGUCGGCCGCCAAGCCUCUGUGAGGCUCCUUCGACGAGUCGAGCAGUUUGGGAAUGCUGCUCAAAACGGGAGGUAUAUGUCUUCUAAAGCUAAAUACCGGCCAGAGACCGAUAGCGCACAAGUAGAGUGAUCGAAAGAUGAAAAGCACUUUGAAAAGAGGGUUAAACAGUACGUGAAAUUGUUGAAAGGGAAGCGCCCGCGACCAGACUCGGGCCCGGCGGAUCACCCGGCGUUCCUCGCCGGUGCACUCCGCCGGCGCCCGGGCCAGCAUCGGCUCGCCGCGGGGGAUAAAGGCGGCGGGAACGUGGCCCCUCCGGGGGUGUUACAGCCCGCCGCGCAAUGCCCCGCGCCGCGGGCCGAGGACCGCGCCCCAGGCAAGGAUGCUGGCGUAAUGGUCGCCGGCGACCCGUCUUGAAACACGGACCAAGGAGUCGUCUUCGUAUGCGAGUGUUCGGGCGUCAAACCCCUACGCGCAAUGAAAGUGAACGCGGGUGAGAGCCCUCGCGGGCGCAUCACCGACCGAUCCUGAUGUUCUCGGAUGGAUUUGAGUAGGAGCAUACGGGGCCGGACCCGAAAGAAGGUGAACUAUGCCUGUGUAGGGUGAAGCCAGAGGAAACUCUGGUGGAGGCUCGCAGCGGUUCUGACGUGCAAAUCGAUCGUCAAACAUGUGCGUGGGGGCGCAAAACUAAUCGA
Molecule: ribosomal RNA, 855 nt
Filed under: Ophiocordyceps hydrangea
Lineage: Eukaryota; Fungi; Ascomycota; Sordariomycetes; Hypocreales; Ophiocordycipitaceae
Description: partial large subunit ribosomal RNA
Rfam family: Eukaryotic large subunit ribosomal RNA
Source: RNAcentral